This 468-nucleotide ribosomal RNA is filed under the name uncultured bacterium. RNAcentral describes it as "partial 16S ribosomal RNA". It matches the Rfam family "Bacterial small subunit ribosomal RNA", at positions 28 to 507 of the family's 1533-position model. The record is from RNAcentral.
GACGAACGCUGGCGGCGUGCUUAACACAUGCAAGUCGAACGGUGAUGCUCCAGCUUGCUGGAGUGGAUCAGUGGCGAACGGGUGAGUAACACGUGAGCAACCUGCCCCAGACUCUGGAAUAAGCGCUGGAAACGGCGUCUAAUACUGGAUACGAAACUGGCCCGCAUGGGCAUGGUUUGGAAAGUUUUUCGGUUUGGGAUGGGCUCGCGGCCUAUCAGCUUGUUGGUGAGGUAAUGGCUCACCAAGGCGACGACGGGUAGCCGGCCUGAGAGGGCGACCGGCCACACUGGGACUGAGACAAGGCCCAGAAUCCUACGGGAGGCAGAAGUGGGGAAUAUUGCACAAUGGGCGAAAGCCUGAUGCAGCGACGCCGCGUGAGGGAUGACGGCCUUCGGGUUGUAAACCUCUUUCAGCAGGGAAGAAGCGAAAGUGACGGUACCUGCAGAAGAAGCACCGGCUAACUACGUG